RNAcentral lists this ribosomal RNA (265 nucleotides) under uncultured bacterium. RNAcentral's name for it is "partial 16S ribosomal RNA". It matches the Rfam family "Bacterial small subunit ribosomal RNA", at positions 29 to 258 of the family's 1533-position model. The record is from RNAcentral.
AACGAACGCUGGCGGCGUGGAUAAGACAUGCAAGUCGAACGGGAUUACUUUUGGUAGCAAUACCGAAAGUGAUUCAGUGGCGAACGGGUGCGUAACACGUGGGCAAUCUACCGAGAAGUGGGGAGUAGCUCGCCGAAACGGACGGAAUUAAAUUAACCGCCAUGUGAUCAGAGGCGGACAAUCGCUUCGUAAAUACAAAGGUAGGCGGCAAGACUACCGCCUUUUUGUUAGGAGCCCGCCGGCCGACUCAGCUUGUUUGGUUGGA